UACGGGGGGAGCAAGCGUUGUUCGGAUUUACUGGGCGUAAAGGGCGCGUAGGCGGUCAGCACAGGUCAGUUGUGAAAUCUCCGGGCUUAACUCGGAAAGGUCAACUGAUACUGUGCGACUAGAGUGCAGAAGGGGCAGCUGGAAUUCUCGGUGUAGCGGUGAAAUGCGUAGAUAUCGAGAGGAACACCUGCGGCGAAGGCGGGUUGCUGGGCUGACACUGACGCUGAUGCGCGAAAGCCAGGGGAGCGAACGGG
This 254-nucleotide ribosomal RNA is filed under the name uncultured bacterium. RNAcentral describes it as "partial 16S ribosomal RNA". It matches the Rfam family "Bacterial small subunit ribosomal RNA", at positions 524 to 776 of the family's 1533-position model. The record is from RNAcentral.